The sequence is a regulatory RNA element, 60 nucleotides long. It matches the Rfam family "Actino-pnp RNA". The record is from Rfam.
CACGGUCUUCGGUAGUGGCUGCCGGGAUAGGAAUCCCGGCCGCUUCGAUCGAUGGCCGUA